CAAAACAAAAUGAAGACAUUGCUGACAGAAGAUUUGCAUGCGAAAUUCGUGCAACUAGAGAAGGAGAAAAGUCAAUAGACUCUGUUGAGUAUUGAGCACAGCUUGAAGAACCCCCUACAAUGGUAAGCUUGGAAGAAAAGGUGGAGAAACUUAAGAAACAGCUCAGUGAAAUGAGAUGGUCAAAUCAAAUCAUGAAAAACUCACCUGAGGAGAGUCAUCUACCUCAAAAGGGAAGAUAAGUGAACUGGCCUAUCAUAUAGAGGAGAGACAGAACUGUAAUCAUUCUCUCCUCACCCUCACGGGACAAAACCAUUGAGAAGAUCCGGGAAUCUUUAAAAAUGGUUGAAAGAGUUAAAGAGAAGACAGCUCCAAAAGUGAUCAAUUUGAGAAGAACAUCAGACUACACCAAGCAAGAACCCAGAGAGGACAUAGAAUGGCCUGUCAUACCCUGGAAGCUGUCACUAAUGAUCUAUAUAUAGUAAACAGAGCACUUGAAGAAGCAGAAAAAUGAGAAAAACAGUGUGUGACUGUUUCCACCCUUAUAGCUCGUGGAUUUUAGAGAGUCUAUAAAGAAGAUGAGAGGCUUUAACAUUGAAAUUUCAGGCAAAGAAAUCACUAAUCAACUCAAGCCCAUCAUACAAACUUAUGAAAUUUCUUCAUUGACAUCUAACAGCAGAUUGAAGGCUACUGGUAAUCGUAAUACUGGCCAAGAGAACAAAUGGCACAAAGACAUUUGGUGCUUUUUUUUUUCUUCACUGUCACCAACCAGACCUAAUUUGUUUUUUGUAAUUUUUUUGUUUAUUGUUUGUAUAUACGGCCGGUAGAAAAUAGCUAGAGAAUGAAUACAAUAUUUUUGGCAUUUUCAUUUAAGUAUUCUUUGAUGUUUGUCACUUGAUUUUUUUCUUUUCUUUCUUAUUUCACUCUUUCACCUUGUUCCUCUCUGCUUUUGCUGUAACUUGUUCUUGACUUGUCAUUUGUAACUUAUUUGAGAUAGUCUAAACCUGAGAUUUCAUCACCUUGGGAACUCCACUGAUACAUGUCAGCAAUUUUGUAUUUGAUAGCAUUGGCUUAUAUUUAUAUUAAAACUGUAAAUUAUUGUCCUACUUACGUAGGAUGCUGACAAAGUUGGACGGCAAACCCAGAGUAGUACAGCUAGUAUGUGUAAGAGUACGAUUUGAACCUAGGUCUUCCUAUCUCCAGGGCAAACUCUUAUUGCACUAAAAGCAAGACAUUUGUUCUUCAAUAUGUCAUUAUCUUCUUUCUGCAUAGUUACAUUAUUUUUGAUCCCUACUAAAAGACAUAUGCAUUGUCAAGUUGAAAAUUUAUAGUUAUUUUAAUCUCUCUAGUA
This is a non-coding RNA of Phascolarctos cinereus (koala), 1348 nucleotides long. The record is from RefSeq and is a predicted model, not a curated record. Lineage: Eukaryota; Metazoa; Chordata; Mammalia; Diprotodontia; Phascolarctidae.